This 386-nucleotide ribosomal RNA is filed under the name uncultured Geobacter sp. RNAcentral's name for it is "bacterial SSU rRNA". It matches the Rfam family "Bacterial small subunit ribosomal RNA", at positions 998 to 1381 of the family's 1533-position model. The record is from RNAcentral. Lineage: Bacteria; Pseudomonadati; Thermodesulfobacteriota; Desulfuromonadia; Geobacterales; Geobacteraceae.
UUCGUAGAAGCGAGGGGUGCCUUUCGGGGAGCCGUAAGACAGGUGCUGCAUGGCUGUCGUCAGCUCGUGUCGUGAGAUUGUUGGGUUAAGUCCCGCAACGAGCGCAACCCCUAUCCUCAGUUGCCAUCAUUAAGUUGGGCACUCUGUGGAGACUGCCGGUGUUAAACCGGAGGAAGGUGGGAUGACGUCAAGUCCUCAUGGCCCUUAUGACCAGGGCUACACACGUGCUACAAUGGCCGGUACAAAGAGUUGCAAUACCGCGAGGUGGAGCUAAUCUCAUAAAGCCGGUCUCAGUUCGGAUUGGAGUCUGCAACUCGACUCCAUGAAGUUGGAAUCGCUAGUAAUCGCGGAUCAGCACGCCGCGGUGAAUACCGGUUCCCGGCCUU